AUGCGGUUGCCCGAGGCCCCCAGCCCGCCCCCGGAAGGCAGGGACUGCCAGGGACGCAGCGUGAGGGUGCUGACUGCAGCUCUGGGCUUCGGGGUCCAAGCUCUCCAGCCGCACCGACUCACCAAGCUCCCGGCCCACUUCCAUGAUCACGAGGGCACAAGCCUAACCAAUCCGGGGUGGCCACUGCCCGGCCCUGCGAAGAGUCGAGGAGCGCUGGGAAACUGCGCGGUGCCGAGAGGUAUAAAUUGGAACCUACUGACCCCAAUAGAGAAGCAAACUUGGUGGGGGUGCCUUGUGUUGGGCAUAAGGCGGAAGACGAGGAGGUGGCUCAACAGUUGGCCACUGUCCCCCAGCCGCCAGCGCGUCGCGCGCCUCGCCCGGGUUGGCCCCUCGGCACCCCGCCCGCCCCGGCCCUGCACCGCCGCCGCCCUCCCCGACGCCUCCGGGAAGCUGACCUACCGCGUGCUGCGGAGCUUCCGCGUUGCCAAGGUGUUCUGCGAAAACUCGGACGAGAUUAACCGUUUCGAUUUCAGCCCCAACGGCGAAACGGUCACCUCAAGCAGCGACGACGACUCCAUCGUGCUGUAUGACUGCCAGGAGGGCAAACCAAAGAGAACCCUGUUCAGUAAGAAAUAUGGCGUGGACCUCAUGCGGCAAACACAGUUGUUUACUCUCACAUAAUAGACGGUACUAUUGGUUACUUCUCCUUGCAUGACAAUAAAUACAUUAGAUACUUUCCUGGACAUAGCCAAAGGGUGGUGGCCUUGUCCAUGUCACCUGCGGAUGACGCUUUAAUUUCUGGGUCUCUUGCUAAGACCAUUCGACUCUGGGAUCUCUGGGCUCCUAACUGCCAGGGCCUCAUGCAUCUCCAGGGGAAGUCAGUUUGUUCUUCUGAUCCAGAAGGGUUAAUUUUCGCUGCUGGUGUCAGCUCUGAAAUGGUCAAACUUUAUGACCUUUGUUUUUUUGAUAAGGGGCCAUUUGCUACCUUUAAGAUGCAGUAUGAUCGAACUUGUGAGUGGACAGGACUUCAGCAACGAUGGCAAGCUCAUCCUCAUUUCCACCAAGGGCAGCUUCAUUCCUCUCCCUGAAGCAUUCAAAGGAGGGGUGAUGCACACAUUGGGGGGUUACGCCAACAGCAAAGCUGUCACACUGCAGGCUUCAUUUACUCCAGACUCUCAGUUUAUUAUGAUUGGUUCAGAGGAUGACAAGACCAUGUCUGGAACGGAGAGAGAGGUAUAAAAGUAGCUGUGUUGGAUGGUAAACACACAGGCCCAAUUACCUGUUGGCAAUUCAACCCCAAGUUCAUGACUUUUGCCAGUUCGUGUUCCAACAUGGCCUUCUGGUUGCCCACCAUUGAUAACUGACCCUGAUGCUGCUUGGCUAUUUCUGUACAGUGAGGGCGACCAGCAGGAAAAAACUCAGAGGGGACUGAGAUAAUAGUGGGAUUGGAUCGUUUGACUGGGCUGGAGAACAUCCUUUUACAUGGCCUUCCCAUGGCUGUGCUGUACAUCUGCUCAAAAGAAAAUGAUUACUUUGCUGAGCGUCUUCAAAAGACUCUGGUGCCACAGACUCAAUUGGAACUCAGCUUUUCUAGCUGUCACUGCACCAAGCCCUGGAGGAGUGCAGUGCUGGAGGAGUGACCAGACUCACGAUUUGGGUAUAGUGGGGCUCUCGAGACAGCUUCAGUCUGAAUGUACAUGCUGCUGAGGAGCUGAUGAAGUCAUCAGUUCUGCACAUCCCUUCUCCUACCCCUCUGAAUGCAUGGGAAGCUAGUCCUGGUUUUGACGUUCUCAGGCAGCUCAGUUCCCCUUGCCCUCACCUGCAUGUCUUGUUACGGGGCGUCCCUGUGUACUUGUGGCAUCAUCCUGUUUCUUAGGUGCCAAGCAUUUAAAGAACUGUUUUAAUGUAUCUUGGGGUCAGAGAAAGGGACAAAUACAGGAGGACCUUGCGUGCAGGAAGCCAUGCAGUUAGUCACUGCAGUUAGUUGUGUGAGGCUAGGUGGUCAGGCAGGCCUCAGGCUGUAGUAUUGGGUGGGAAAAGGGCCUGAGAGGGAGGAAAGGGGGAGGGUAGUAGGUGAGUUCCUAGGGCUGGAAGGUUUAGCAACAGCCUGAUGCAGUGCCCUGUCAUUAAGACAAACCCAUGGUCCCCCUGGAUGCCCACCAAGCUUGAUGUAUAAAAGCAAGGUGGGAGUCUAUUUUUGUACAUGAGACAUGUCACACUUUCUUGUGGGCCAGUAUUGUGAAGUGAGUCUGAAUUGUUUACACUGAUGCCUUCCCUGCCCACCACAGAUUUUGUAUAUAGUCUUCAGAUGAUCCCACCCCUUUCCCCAGUUCCCAACCAAGAGCUGCUUCUAGGCCUGUGUUACAGUUAGCUUUUUUAUAUAUGACCUUUGAUUUCUGUCGUAUUUUAGCACAGUGUAUGCACCUUCAUUUAAAUAGAUCUGUGUGCAUACAGAUAUGCAUGUAUGUGUAUGCAUUUGCAUAUAUCUCAUCUGUAGUUUCUGAGAGUUCAGCUGAAGCAGAUGGAGUCCUGCAGCCCAGGAGACAGACUGUUCCUUGCUGACAGUGUUUGCCACAAGUGUUAGUGAGUUUUUCCUAUUAACGUAUUCAUUUUGGAGGACUGAAUGAAGCAAAGCUUAUAGCGUUUGCUGUUUCCAUGGCAGCUAAGUGAGGGUCUGGGGAUGUCUCCCUGUGUUCCUCAAGCCGCACUUUGGGGUCCUGUCUGCAGUAUUAGCCCCCUUUUUUGCUUGGUGGUGCUCUGUCUGUGCCUGUGUGUGUGUGUGUGUGUGUGUGUGUGUGUGUGUGUGUGAGAGAGAGAGAGAGAGAGAGAUAGUCACUCUUGCAUGGCUUCUGUGUCUGGCUGGUGGCAUUUGGGGAUAGGGUGCUGGAGCAAGAGCAUUUGCAGUUUGAGGCCUCAUUGCCAAUGAUAGAUCACUCCCGUUUACCUGGUAUGUCUGCUUGCUUGCUGCUUUGCUUUCUCUCAGAAGAGGAAGGGGCUCUAGUCAGGCCCAGGCUGAGUGAGGCAAGCUGCAGCUGGCUGAUGGCCUUCUUAGAGCAGAAAGAGUGGUAUGUCAUUUUACUAAGUUCCUAAACAAACAUUUAUUCAGGCAACACUCCUUGCAGAUCCAGAAACUGAGGCACAAGAAGGUUAUGACUUGCUCAAAAAUACGUAGCUGCUAGGGAGUAAAUCAAAGCAUCACAAUUUCUGUUCAGCGGCAGGAAUAGGCUGUGAAUUGCUAGCACUUUUAAAGCAAUUACUUUUUGACUUGUUCCUUCUCAAACUGAAAGUGCAAGAGGUGUACACCUUUCCCAAAUAUAGGUUAGAAUCUGCAGGAUGCUACCCACUGUAUAGCUCUGCUUUCCCAGAGAGGA
Molecule: RNA transcript, 3371 nt
Organism: Sapajus apella (tufted capuchin)
Lineage: Eukaryota; Metazoa; Chordata; Mammalia; Primates; Cebidae
Gene name: WD repeat-containing protein 82 pseudogene
Exons: 3
Source: RefSeq, a predicted model, not a curated record